GAUGAACGCUGGCGGCGUGCCUAAUACAUGCAAGUCGAGCGAACAGAUGAGGAGCUUGCUCCUCUGACGUUAGCGGCGGACGGGUGAGUAACACGUGGAUAACCUACCUAUAAGACUGGGAUAACUUCGGGAAACCGGAGCUAAUACCGGAUAAUAUAUUGAACCGCAUGGUUCAAUAGUGAAAGACGGUUUUGCUGUCACUUAUAGAUGGAUCCGCGCCGCAUUAGCUAGUUGGUAAGGUAACGGCUUACCAAGGCAACGAUGCGUAGCCGACCUGAGAGGGUGAUCGGCCACACUGGAACUGAGACACGGUCCAGACUCCUACGGGAGGCAGCAGUAGGGAAUCUUCCGCAAUGGGCGAAAGCCUGACGGAGCAACGCCGCGUGAGUGAUGAAGGUCUUCGGAUCAUAAAACUCUGUUAUUAGGGAAGAACAAAUGUGUAAGUAACUAUGCACGUCUUGACGGUACCUAAUCAGAAAGCCACGGCUAACUACGUG
This 497-nucleotide ribosomal RNA is filed under the name uncultured bacterium. RNAcentral describes it as "partial 16S ribosomal RNA". It matches the Rfam family "Bacterial small subunit ribosomal RNA", at positions 28 to 507 of the family's 1533-position model. The record is from RNAcentral.